This 253-nucleotide ribosomal RNA is filed under the name uncultured bacterium. RNAcentral describes it as "partial 16S ribosomal RNA". It matches the Rfam family "Bacterial small subunit ribosomal RNA", at positions 524 to 776 of the family's 1533-position model. The record is from RNAcentral.
UACGGGGGGAGCAAGCGUUAUCCGGAUUCACUGGGUUUAAAGGGUGCGUAGGUGGAUUGGUAAGUCCGUGGUGAAAUCCCUGAGCUUAACUCAGGAACUGCCGUGGAUACUAUCAAUCUUGAAUACUGUGGAGGUAAGCGGAAUAUGUCAUGUAGCGGUGAAAUGCUUAGAUAUGACAUAGAACACCAAUUGCGAAGGCAGCUUGCUACACGGUUAUUGACACUGAGGCACGAAAGCGUGGGGAUCAAACAGG